GGAUGGGCGAGGCCACC
Molecule: ribosomal RNA, 17 nt
Filed under: Xylobium foveatum
Lineage: Eukaryota; Viridiplantae; Streptophyta; Magnoliopsida; Asparagales; Orchidaceae
Description: partial 26S ribosomal RNA
Source: RNAcentral